CCUACGGGAGGCAGCAGUGGGGAAUAUUGCACAAUGGGGGAAACCCUGAUGCAGCGACGCCGCGUGAGUGAAGAAGUAAUUCGUUAUGUAAAGCUCUAUCAGCAGGGAAGAAAAUGACGGUACCUGAGUAAGAAGCCCCGGCUAACUACGUGCGAGAAGCAGCGGUAAUACGUAGGGGGCAAGCGUUAUCCGGAUUUACUGGGUGGAAAGGGAGUGUAGACGGCAGUGCAAGUCUGGAGUGAAAGGCGGGGGCUCAACCCCCGGACUGCUCUGGAAACUGUACGGCUGGAGUGCAGGAGAGGUAAGUGGAAUUCCUAGUGUAGCGGUGAAAUGCGUAGAUAUUAGGAGGAACACCAGUGGCGAAGGCGGCUUACUGGACUGUAACUGACGUUGAGGCUCGAAAGCGUGGGGAGCAAACAGGAUUAGAUACCCGGGUAGUC
This 440-nucleotide ribosomal RNA is filed under the name uncultured bacterium. RNAcentral describes it as "partial 16S ribosomal RNA". It matches the Rfam family "Bacterial small subunit ribosomal RNA", at positions 338 to 795 of the family's 1533-position model. The record is from RNAcentral.